GGAAAUGGUGGGGUCCUGGAGGAACAUAGACAUUGCCUGGCACAAGGCGGAGGAAGCCGGUGAGUUUCGUUUAGUUUCUUGGUCGAAGAAAAAAUGCAUUUUUAAUGGCAAGUGUUCAUUUUGAGUUAAUAGUUUCUUGGUCAGAAAAAAUGCAUUUUUAAUGGCAAGUGUUCAUUUUGAGCGAGGUAAUGUGCACAUGUUAGGCUGGAAUUUGCUCGAUUUCUUGUUGCGGCUUGGAUAUAAUUUGUCGCUUUAUCGAAAAAAAAGUUAAUAUUUUCCAAGGAAUUAUCCCCUUUGCUCUCAAAUGGCAGAUUAAUUGGAAAUUAUUAUGAUUUCUGAUUGAACACUGAAAAAAUUAGUAAAUUUCUAAUUUAUCAGUUAUGAAUGUUGCAAUCAAGCACUUAGGUUGCCUAAAUUUUUCUUUAGUCUCAUUGAUGCUAGAUUAUUGAAUUCUUCGUCCAUUUGAAUUUUAUCUCACAUUUAGCUCUUUUAGC
This 494-nucleotide long non-coding RNA is filed under the name Setaria viridis. RNAcentral describes it as "long non-coding RNA (SVIR_LNC001340)". Lineage: Eukaryota; Viridiplantae; Streptophyta; Magnoliopsida; Poales; Poaceae. The record is from RNAcentral.